RNAcentral lists this long non-coding RNA (335 nucleotides) under Mytilus galloprovincialis (Mediterranean mussel). The record is from RNAcentral. Lineage: Eukaryota; Metazoa; Mollusca; Bivalvia; Mytilida; Mytilidae.
CUGUAACAAGAAACUAGCAGUAUAUAAUCUGCAAUAACUAUCAUUAGAAUAGGAAAAUAAUUACAUUAUCGAAAACUUAGAACUUUGCUAAUUGCAACUAUUCAGAAACUUAUUUGAUGAUGGAAUUCAUUUCUCAGUGGCACUUCUCCGAAUCUUUUAAAUGUCAGAUUCGGAUUAAAACCGUACAUCGAAUACAACGAACAAGACCAAAAUAGUGAAUCUAAUGGACACAAACAGAAAUGAACAAAUGGCAAUACAGAAAAUCGACCACGGUGCUUUCAACAAAAUAGAUACCAACUUUUAAAGAGAAAUUUGAAUCUGAAAGAUGCAUUGGG